GGCGACAUAGCCAAGUGGCUAAGGCAUCGGACUGCAACUCCGCGAUCCCCAGUUCAAAUCUGGGUGUCGCCU
RNAcentral lists this transfer RNA (72 nucleotides) under Eubacterium sp. Its description in RNAcentral is "tRNA-Cys". It matches the Rfam family "tRNA". From Rfam's summary of the family: Transfer RNA (tRNA) molecules are approximately 80 nucleotides in length. Their secondary structure includes four short double-helical elements and three loops (D, anti-codon, and T loops). RNAcentral also lists the same sequence under 3 other names. The record is from RNAcentral. Lineage: Bacteria; Bacillati; Bacillota; Clostridia; Eubacteriales; Eubacteriaceae.